This is a non-coding RNA of Podarcis lilfordi (Lilford's wall lizard), 72 nucleotides long. NCBI's taxonomy places the organism in Eukaryota, Metazoa, Chordata, Lepidosauria, Squamata, Lacertidae. The record is from the annotation of a GenBank genome assembly.
GAAAGUGUAGUUCGGUGGUGGGGCAUCUGCUUUGCACGCAGAAGGUUCUGGGUUCAAGCCCCAACAUCUUCA